Molecule: ribosomal RNA, 492 nt
Filed under: uncultured bacterium
Lineage: Bacteria
Description: bacterial SSU rRNA
Rfam family: Bacterial small subunit ribosomal RNA
Source: RNAcentral
GAUGAACGCUAGCGGCAGGCGUUAACACAUGCAAGUCAGGGGGUAACAUAGAAAAGCUUGCUUUUCUGAUGACGACCGGCGCACGGGUGCGUAACGCGUAUACAACCUACCUUUUAGCGGGGAAUAGCCCAGGGAAACUUGGAUUAAUGCCCCAUAGUAUAUAGACUUCUCCUGAAGUUUAUAUUAAACAUUUAUGGCUAUUAGAUGGGUAUGCGUCCUAUUAGUUAGUUGGUAAGGUAACGGCUUACCAAGGCAGCGAUAGGUAGGGGUCCUGAGAGGGAGAUCCCCACACUGGUACUGAGACACGGACCAGACUCCUACGGGAGGCAGCAGUGAGGAAUAUUGGACAAUGGGCGAGAGCCUGAUCCAGCCAUGCCGCGUGCAGGAAGACUCGCCCUAGUGGGUUGUAAACUGUCUUUUACAGAGGAAGAACCCACCCCCACGUGUGGGGGUUUGACGGUACUCUGCGAAUAAGGAUCGGCUAACUCCGUG